Molecule: small RNA, 539 nt
Filed under: Pan troglodytes (chimpanzee)
Lineage: Eukaryota; Metazoa; Chordata; Mammalia; Primates; Hominidae
Description: retained intron
Source: RNAcentral
ACUUGCCAAGGCUGAGUGUGAGCUGAGCCUGCCCCACCACCAAGAUGAUCCUGAGCUUGCUGUUCAGCCUUGGGGGCCCCCUGGGCUGGGGGCUGCUGGGGGCAUGGGCCCAGGCUUCCAGUACUAGCCUCUCUGAUCUGCAGAGCUCCAGGACACCUGGGGUCUGGAAGGCAGAGGCUGAGGACACCGGCAAGGACCCCGUUGGACGGAUAAUGGAUUCCAGAAUCCCACCACUGCUCCGGCAGGAGGCGAGGACCGGUGGCUCUGCACUGGCACCCCCUGUUGACCUGAGUGUGGCUCAGCAGCCUUCUCCUCUGGCUUGUUUUCCAGUAACUGGUGCCCCUACCCAAUGUCCAAGCUGGUCACCUUACUAGCUCUUUGCAAAACAGAGAAAUUCCUCAUCCACUCGCAGCAGCCGUGUCUGCAGGGAGCUCCAGACUGCCAGAAAGUCAAAGUCAUGUGAGUAGGGGAGGGUGGGCCAUUUGCCCAGGCCUGGAGCGGGCCCUCCCUGGAAUCACUGAGCCAGCCCUCCUCCUCUU